Molecule: ribosomal RNA, 253 nt
Filed under: uncultured bacterium
Lineage: Bacteria
Description: partial 16S ribosomal RNA
Rfam family: Bacterial small subunit ribosomal RNA
Source: RNAcentral
UACGAAGGGGGCUAGCGUUGCUCGGAAUCACUGGGCGUAAAGGGCGCGUAGGCGGAUCUUUAAGUCGGGGGUGAAAGCCCAGGGCUCAACCCUGGAAUUGCCUUCGAUACUGAAGAUCUCGAGACCGGAAGAGGUAAGUGGAACUGCGAGUGUAGAGGUGAAAUUCGUAGAUAUUCGCAGGAACACCAGUGGCGAAGGCGGCUUACUGGUCCGGUUCUGACGCUGAGGCGCGAAAGCGUGGGGAGCAAACAGG